This is a long non-coding RNA of Brachypodium distachyon (stiff brome), 1042 nucleotides long. RefSeq lists it as uncharacterized. The transcript has 4 exons. NCBI's taxonomy places the organism in Eukaryota, Viridiplantae, Streptophyta, Magnoliopsida, Poales, Poaceae. The record is from RefSeq and is a predicted model, not a curated record.
UAUGCACUCCUUGGGAGGCCCAAGCCCACCCAAACUGCGUUCCGCAUCCUCGGGCGGGUGGAAUCGCGGCGGCGCGCCCGGUUCCUGCCAGCCACCCCGAGCGCCGCCAACUCCGGCGAUGUUGGGCCACAUGUUCGGAGACCGCCGCUUCUUCGGUCUUCCUCUCCGGUGCUCCUUCCCAUGAGAUUCUUCUGGAUGUGCCUCGUUGAAACAUCUAUAGCAGUACACCUUCCCUACCACCUUAAUAACAGGAGCAUAUGCUGGUGAUAAUGAAAGAGAAGGUGGUGACAAGCUUCUGGCUGCCUCACCGUGCAUUGCAAACAUGGCAAUCACCACAGCUAAGACCAGCCAUAAGUGACCCUUUGGCUGGCCUCCCACGCUCAUUUUCAUUGCUGGACAGCUCUUCUGAAGUGAGAGGAUGAGGGGGAAUGUGAAUGGGUUUGGCUUUGGUAUGGAUGGGUAUUUAUAAUGUUCAAGGUGGCACCUGUCAUGGUUUGAGGGACAGCAGGGAAAAGAUUUUCUGGUCAGGCGAGUGCAGAAUAAGUCCUGCAGUUCCAGGAGCCCAGGGCCUGAUGCAUGCAAGAUUUACCCUUGCUUCAGAAGAAAAAAUAUUCAGGUGAUCCGAGGUGAGUGGUAUGUGUAGCUUCAACUGCUCAAAGAUACUAGCUCGCUGACCAUAACAGAGCAGCUCACCAACCUCAGGGCAAAGCAAAGCAAAGCAUGAGGUGUUGUGUCCUUGGUCAAAGGAAGCUUUUGCAGGGCGCGUGCAUCCCUUGUCUGAUCUGCUCCACGAAUGAAUUGAGCAGGUUUAACAAACAAAUAUGCUAUCGUUUUGUUUCCCUUUCUAUGCUCUAAGUUUGUUUGACCUCUUGCAAUCAUCUGUCAGACCUGAGAUUUUGGAUGGAACUGAACCCAUGAUGCACACGGCUUUAGAGAGAUCCCAUUUGAUUAGCAGAAAAUAAACAUUUAGUAUAUGGGGAUUUAAAAUCUUAAAUUUAUUCUCAAAUUGUUUUUAGAGAAUCCCUUUCUUUUUUUGGCUCAA